AUGGAGGAGAUGGGGGAGGAGAGCAGCAGGUAUCCAUGGCAGGACUACGACCUGGGCUUCGGGGAGGAGCUCAUGAGGGAGCUCCUCGACCAGACGACGACGGCGCCAUCGGCAACACCAACGGCGGCCGGCGCCGCAAGCGCUGAUAAUUCUUCUUCUUCCGACAAGGGGAUUGGUGACGAGGAGGAAGGGGCGGUGGGACGCCGGGAGUCCAUGGUGAACAGGCUCAUGUCGACGGUCUACUCCGGGCCCACCCUCAGCGACAUCGAGAGCGCCCUCUCCUUCACCGGCGCCGGCGCUGGCGACCUGCUGGACGGCCGCAGCAAGUACCACUACAGCCCCUCCAGCCCAGUGGUUUUCUCGCCGGAGAAGGUGCUGGGCAAGAUGGAGAACAAGUACACGAUGAAGAUCAAGAGCUGCGGCAACGGGCUCGCCGACGAUGGGUACAAGUGGAGGAAAUACGGCCAGAAAGCCAUCAAGAACAGCCCCAACCCAAGGAGUUACUACCGGUGCACGAACCCGCGGUGCAACGCGAAGAAGCAGGUGGAGCGCGCCGUCGACGAGCCGGACACGCUCGUCGUCACCUACGAAGGCCUCCACCUCCACUACACCUACUCCCACUUCCUCCAGCAGCAGACCACCCCUCCACCCGCCGCCGCCGCCGCCUCAAGCUCCAAGAAGCCCAAGUUGCACCCCGCCGCCGGCGCCAUUACAGACUCCCACCACGGGAGCACCCCUGUGGCAACAACCUCGCCGCCCUCUGCGGCCGUCGUCCCUGCCGGCGCCGGGGACAGCAGCGGCGACAGCGGCGGUAACGUGAUAGCCGACGCGGGCUUCCUGCUGGAGCACGCGGUGCCCAACUGCUCGCCGUAUGUGUUCGACGGCGGAUUGUUCGGUGAGGCCGGCGAGGAGCGGCGGAUGACGAGCGACGCCGGCGGGCUCCUGGAGGACAUGGUGCCACUGAUGGUCCGGCGGCCGUCGUGCAACUCGGCGGCCACCACCGCCAGCUCGUCCACGACGGUCGGCUCGCCCGCGGCGCCGGUGUCGUCGCCCUCCCCCUCCACGUCGUCCGUGUCCUGGACCCCCGCGUCGCCGUACAUCGACAUGGCCAUCCUCUCCAACAUCUUCUAG
RNAcentral lists this ribosomal RNA (1131 nucleotides) under Triticum aestivum (bread wheat). RNAcentral's name for it is "partial small subunit ribosomal RNA". Lineage: Eukaryota; Viridiplantae; Streptophyta; Magnoliopsida; Poales; Poaceae. The record is from RNAcentral.